GGCCUGGUGGUGGAACGGUUAAUACGCCUGCUUCAUGUUUCUACUCCGUACAGUUUAAGCAGGAGACCCUUGUUCGAAUCAAGGUCGGGCCG
Non-coding RNA from Mycena epipterygia, 92 nucleotides. NCBI's taxonomy places the organism in Eukaryota, Fungi, Basidiomycota, Agaricomycetes, Agaricales, Mycenaceae. The record is from the annotation of a GenBank genome assembly.